GAUGAACGCUGGCGGCGUGCUUAACACAUGCAAGUCGAACGAAGAUGCCGGAGUGCUUGCACUUUGGCAGACUGAGUGGCGGACGGGUGAGUAACGCGUGGGUAACCUGCCUUAUACAGGGGGAUAACAGUUGGAAACGACUGCUAAUACCGCAUAAGCGCACGGUAUCGCAUGAUACAGUGUGAAAAACUCCGGUGGUAUAAGAUGGACCCGCGUCUGAUUAGCUUGUUGGUGAGGUAACGGCCCACCAAGGCGACGAUCAGUAGCCGGCCUGAGAGGGUGAACGGCCACAUUGGGACUGAGACACGGCCCAAACUCCUACGGGAGGCAGCAGUGGGGAAUAUUGCACAAUGGGGGGAAACCCUGAUGCAGCGACGCCGCGUGAGUGAUGAAGUAUUUCGGUAUGUAAAACUCUAUCAGCAGGGAAGAUAAUGACGGUACCUGACCAAGAAGCACCGGCUAAAUACGUGCCAGCAGCCGC
This 481-nucleotide ribosomal RNA is filed under the name uncultured bacterium. RNAcentral's name for it is "bacterial SSU rRNA". It matches the Rfam family "Bacterial small subunit ribosomal RNA", at positions 28 to 518 of the family's 1533-position model. The record is from RNAcentral.